Molecule: long non-coding RNA, 1877 nt
Organism: Gallus gallus (chicken)
Lineage: Eukaryota; Metazoa; Chordata; Aves; Galliformes; Phasianidae
Source: Ensembl
AUCUCUUGCUGGAGAUCCCUGCAGCUCUGAGGCCUUCCAAAGUCAAACUCAAAAGUCUUUGGGCUGACUUACAGCUUUUUAAGGCAAAACCCAAAUAAAUGCCAUCAAAGGGCACGUCGAGGGUGGAGAAAGAUCAGAAGGUCAGAGGCCCACUAUAAGCCAAGAAAAUGUGUCAAAAGCAAAUAUUUACAUUUCUGAUUGUUUCUUUCUGUCCAGAGUGCCCCAGUGUUUCAGCCAUGAGUGGCUGCGUGAACUGGGAACGAAUUGGGGUUAUUUGGGGUGAGCACAUUCUUGGUAUGGGGAAGGAUCCGGAUUAGAUGGAGCAGCCCCAGCUCCUCUCCACCCUGGCCAUCAUUCAGCUCCAUACCCUGAACUGCCCUCAUGCAUCUCUCUCUCCAUCUGAAAGCACUCAUCAUUUGGGAUCAGAAUGCCACCGACAUAGACACAGCCAGGGAUCACUUGGGAGCGGUCAGAAGCUGUCUCUGCCCUGCUGAAGGAUUUUCCAGCAGCCAUUCACCCCCUAUUUAUUGACCCAGCAAUGCUUGCAGCGCUCCGCAGGUCCCCGGGGUGGGGAUUUUACGGGAUCGUGCUGAUUCCCCAUUGCACAGCCUCUGUGUUUAAAUGCUUUUGAACCCACACAGAGCCAGAAACUGAGUGAGGUCCUGCCGGGCUAAAUGGAUUUCACUGCCGAAACAGAAAGGAAUGGGCUCCCAGGAAUAAGUGAUAUUAUUUACAUGGUAUCGAUCGGCGCUGAGCUUUUGCUGGCUCAGCACUUUUAACCCCUGGUUUUCAUCAGCCGAGUGCUUAACCCUCAGGUAAUUGGAUUUGCAGCUGUUAUUGUGAUCUAUGCUGCCUCCAAUUACUCUCCAUGGGGCACCCAUAGGACGGGGAGCCCAAAUAGGGAUCCUCGUAAGAGCAGGGAGAGCAAAGUAUCACGGCACGUGGGGUCAAGAGUGUUUGAGUAGACUGAGCACAGGUGGAUGAAGCCUUUUUCCAGGAAGCUUUGAGGAACUGAGGUUCAGUAUCUUGACCCCUUUGUGCAGGAUCGUGGCGGCAAUGCCCUUGUUCCCAUUCCCAUUGCAUCCAUUGAAGCCCUCAUGGCUGAGCUGCUCUCUCCCACCAAAAAGUUGUCCAUCCGAUGGAACAGUUCUUCCUUUGGGGUCCCAACAAAGGCUGACAACAAAAAAAAAAGCCAUAAAGCAGCUGAUGGGCAAGGAAUGAGGAGCUGUGAUUUUUCCUGUGUUGCCACAGGACUCUGUCUUCCUUGGGCUGACACCAAAGGACUCAUUGGCUGUCACAGAAUCAUAGAAUCACAAAGGUUGAAGAAGGCCACCAAGAUCAUUUCAUCCAACAUAGACACAGGCAGGUUUUGGCCCCCGAAGUGCAGAGACCCUCAGAAGCAAAAUCUUCCAUAGGUGUCUAUGGGGUAAAGUGGUGAACAAAGCCACGAGCAAUCUCUUGUGUCUUGUCUUCCAUCGCAGCCAAGAGAAAUGCAUUAUUGGUCUUGACACGGAGGUGCAGCAGAUGGAUAAUUGGGUGACAUUUGCUGCUCUGCGUCACGCGGGGUCAGAUGAGAUGGUCUUUUGUGACCUUUAAAUCCGUGAACUAACAAAAUUUGGCCUUCUUUGGGUGAUGCUGUUGGAAAGGGUGGGAAACAGAGGCUGCUGGGGUUGGAAAUGCAGUGCUGGGUGCUGGGCAUAGAGCUGCAGCAUCACAGGGCUCCCUGCAGACCCAGAUUCCUUUUCCAGUUACUAAUGGUGUUUCCCAUGCCCAGAUGCUGCGGUGUUUCCCAGCGCAAACCACCCAGCAAUUUGCUGAUGCUGUUAUCCAGUGUCUGCAGCCAAUUGUUUGGAAGACAGCUGGAGAGCCUGGAAUUG